UGAAGUUGUUGCCUUCUCUUCCCGGUUCUUCCUGGAGUCGGGAGAAGCUGGGUUGAGAUGGCCAAAGAAAAAAAAC
Molecule: microRNA precursor, 76 nt
Filed under: Callithrix jacchus (white-tufted-ear marmoset)
Lineage: Eukaryota; Metazoa; Chordata; Mammalia; Primates; Cebidae
Description: mir-320 microRNA precursor family
Rfam family: mir-320 microRNA precursor family
Source: Rfam by way of RNAcentral